GAGGGUAUAGCUCAGUGGUGUAGCACAUGCUUAGCAUGCAUGAAGUCCUGGGUUCAAUUCCUAGUACCCUCA
RNAcentral lists this transfer RNA (72 nucleotides) under Camelus ferus (Wild Bactrian camel). It matches the Rfam family "tRNA". From Rfam's summary of the family: Transfer RNA (tRNA) molecules are approximately 80 nucleotides in length. The record is from Rfam by way of RNAcentral. Lineage: Eukaryota; Metazoa; Chordata; Mammalia; Artiodactyla; Camelidae.